Molecule: unclassified non-coding RNA, 151 nt
Filed under: soil metagenome
Description: partial internal transcribed spacer 1
Source: RNAcentral
GCGAGUAUGGCCCUCACGGGUCUAAUCCACCAUAAACACCUUUGUGAACCAGUCAGGGGGACUCGGCCGUGAAAGCCCAGGCGAUUGGCGGAAGGGCCCUCCUUUGCAAACCCGUUUAGAAGUCUUGAAAGUACUUUUGUAUAAUCUAGUA